GGAAGUAAAAGUCGAACAAGGUCUCCGUAGGUGAACCUGCGGAGGGAUCAUUACAGAGUUCAUGCCCUCACGGGUAGAUCUCCCACCCUGUGUUAUUAUACUUUGUUGCUUUGGCAGGCCGCCCGCGUGGGCUACCGGCUCCAGCUGGUAAGUGCCUGCCAGAGGACCCCAAACUCUGAAUAUUUUAUUGUCUGAGUACUAUAUAAUAGUUUAAAACUUUCAACAACGGAUCUCUUGGUUCUG
This 243-nucleotide unclassified non-coding RNA is filed under the name plant metagenome. Its description in RNAcentral is "partial contains small subunit ribosomal RNA, internal transcribed spacer 1, and 5.8S ribosomal RNA". The stretch from base 1 to 53 matches the Rfam family "Eukaryotic small subunit ribosomal RNA", at positions 1778 to 1831 of the family's 1831-position model. The record is from RNAcentral.